Molecule: unclassified non-coding RNA, 764 nt
Filed under: Bombus terrestris (buff-tailed bumblebee)
Lineage: Eukaryota; Metazoa; Arthropoda; Insecta; Hymenoptera; Apidae
Description: misc RNA ENSBTSG00005022964.1
Source: RNAcentral
AUCGAUACACGGCAAUUCCGGCGAGCGCUGUAUAAAACGGGACCGAGCAAGUUUCAUGGAAACGCCACAUCGUAACGAGCGCAACCCUGGAAUAAUCGAGCGACUUUGUUUGAUUUGGAAAGCAUGAGAAAGCUUCUUUUUCACUGAGCGGUGCGUAACGAUGAUCAAAUCACGUGGAUGAAUCUGUGAUAUCGAAGUUUGUGAGCUUUAGGGAAAAGUUCGUAAGUUUAAAGUUAGAUGAGUUAAAGACUUUUGGGAUGGAUAUCCGAGGAACAAGGGUUUGGCCUUCUCCUACAGAAGAGAAUUCCAACUGGGACACCCUUCGUGGAAUCCAAUCUCGCCUCAAAGAGGCUCGUCUGUGCUCCAUGGUGUAUUCUCCCGAAAGUUCUGUGACUCGCAGCUUCAAUUACCGAGUUCUCGAUCAAUUAAGCCGUGGCGAGAUAAUAAAUUAGUCGGAACAAUCGAGUAUCGUGAUCGAAAUGAUAUUCGAAUGCGACGAGGAAAGAAUGACGAUCAUUCUGCGAAAUAAGGACGAGACGACCAUAGUUGUGUAUAUUUAACUCUCUACGUGAUGACACUUCCUCAGAUGUUAAUAACAAUCUAAUAAAAAUACCCAUAUAUCUUCCUUUGCCUACCGCUGUGAGGAAACGUUGGACGAAAUAACAAACCCUUCGUUUACGAGAAAAUCUACGUAAAACGAAAAAGAGUAAGAUACAAGAACGAAUAAAUUCUAGAGUGACAAUAAUGGAGACAAUAAUUUCCUA